This 306-nucleotide ribosomal RNA is filed under the name uncultured bacterium. RNAcentral describes it as "bacterial SSU rRNA". It matches the Rfam family "Bacterial small subunit ribosomal RNA", at positions 28 to 334 of the family's 1533-position model. The record is from RNAcentral.
GAUGAACGCUAGCGGAAGGCUUAAUACAUGCAAGUCGAGCGGUAGAUAAGACUUCGGUUUUAUUGAGAGCGGCGCACGGGUGAGUAACGCGUACAUGACCUACCCUUAAGAAAGGAAUAGCCCUGGGAAACUGGGAUUAAUGCCUUAUAGUAUUACUGAUGUUAGAGAUUGGUAAUUAAAGUUUCGGCGCUUAAGGAUGGAUGUGCGUCUGAUUAGCUAGUUGGUAAGGUAACGGCUUACCAAGGCGACGAUCAGUAGGGGGCGUGAGAGCGUGAUCCCCCACACGGGUACUGAGACACGGACCCG